UACGGGGGGAGCAAGCGUUGUUCGGAUUUACUGGGCGUAAAGGGCGCGUAGGCGGCCACCGCAAGUCAGUUGUGAAAUCUCUGGGCUUAACCCAGAAAGGUCAACUGAUACUGCGGGGCUAGAGUGCAGAAGGGGCAACUGGAAUUCUCGGUGUAGCGGUGAAAUGCGAAGAUAUCGAGAGGAACACCUGCGGCGAAGGCGGGUUGCUGGGCUGACACUGACGCUGAAGCGCGAAAGCUAGGGGAGCGAACGGG
This 254-nucleotide ribosomal RNA is filed under the name uncultured bacterium. RNAcentral describes it as "partial 16S ribosomal RNA". It matches the Rfam family "Bacterial small subunit ribosomal RNA", at positions 524 to 776 of the family's 1533-position model. The record is from RNAcentral.